RNAcentral lists this ribosomal RNA (2745 nucleotides) under Escherichia coli. Its description in RNAcentral is "partial 23S ribosomal RNA". It matches the Rfam family "Bacterial large subunit ribosomal RNA". Lineage: Bacteria; Pseudomonadati; Pseudomonadota; Gammaproteobacteria; Enterobacterales; Enterobacteriaceae. The record is from RNAcentral.
CAUAGGUUAAUGAGGCGAACCGGGGGAACUGAAACAUCUAAGUACCCCGAGGAAAAGAAAUCAACCGAGAUUCCCCCAGUAGCGGCGAGCGAACGGGGAGGAGCCCAGAGCCUGAAUCAGUGUGUGUGUUAGUGGAAGCGUCUGGAAAGGCGUGCGAUACAGGGUGACAGCCCCGUACACAAAAAUGCACAUACUGUGAGCUCGAUGAGUAGGGCGGGACACGUGGUAUCCUGUCUGAAUAUGGGGGGACCAUCCUCCAAGGCUAAAUACUCCUGACUGACCGAUAGUGAACCAGUACCGUGAGGGAAAGGCGAAAAGAACCCCGGCGAGGGGAGUGAAAAAGAACCUGAAACCGUGUACGUACAAGCAGUGGGAGCCUCUUAAUGGGGUGACUGCGUACCUUUUGUAUAAUGGGUCAGCGACUUAUAUUCUGUAGCAAGGUUAACCGAAUAGGGGAGCCGAAGGGAAACCGAGUCUUAACUGGGCGUUAAGUUGCAGGGUAUAGACCCGAAACCCGGUGAUCUAGCCAUGGGCAGGUUGAAGGUUGGGUAACACUAACUGGAGGACCGAACCGACUAAUGUUGAAAAAUUAGCGGAUGACUUGUGGCUGGGGGUGAAAGGCCAAUCAAACCGGGAGAUAGCUGGUUCUCCCCGAAAGCUAUUUAGGUAGCGCCUCGUGAAUUCAUCUCCGGGGGUAGAGCACUGUUUCGGCAAGGGGGUCAUCCCGACUUACCAACCCGAUGCAAACUGCGAAUACCGGAGAAUGUUAUCACGGGAGACACACGGCGGGUGCUAACGUCCGUCGUGAAGAGGGAAACAACCCAGACCGCCAGCUAAGGUCCCAAAGUCAUGGUUAAGUGGGAAACGAUGUGGGAAGGCCCAGACAGCCAGGAUGUUGGCUUAGAAGCAGCCAUCAUUUAAAGAAAGCGUAAUAGCUCACUGGUCGAGUCGGCCUGCGCGGAAGAUGUAACGGGGCUAAACCAUGCACCGAAGCUGCGGCAGCGACACUAUGUGUUGUUGGGUAGGGGAGCGUUCUGUAAGCCUGCGAAGGUGUACUGUGAGGUAUGCUGGAGGUAUCAGAAGUGCGAAUGCUGACAUAAGUAACGAUAAAGCGGGUGAAAAGCCCGCUCGCCGGAAGACCAAGGGUUCCUGUCCAACGUUAAUCGGGGCAGGGUGAGUCGACCCCUAAGGCGAGGCCGAAAGGCGUAGUCGAUGGGAAACAGGUUAAUAUUCCUGUACUUGGUGUUACUGCGAAGGGGGGACGGAGAAGGCUAUGUUGGCCGGGCGACGGUUGUCCCGGUUUAAGCGUGUAGGCUGGUUUUCCAGGCAAAUCCGGAAAAUCAAGGCUGAGGCGUGAUGACGAGGCACUACGGUGCUGAAGCAACAAAUGCCCUGCUUCCAGGAAAAGCCUCUAAGCAUCAGGUAACAUCAAAUCGUACCCCAAACCGACACAGGUGGUCAGGUAGAGAAUACCAAGGCGCUUGAGAGAACUCGGGUGAAGGAACUAGGCAAAAUGGUGCCGUAACUUCGGGAGAAGGCACGCUGAUAUGUAGGUGAAGUCCCUCGCGGAUGGAGCUGAAAUCAGUCGAAGAUACCAGCUGGCUGCAACUGUUUAUUAAAAACACAGCACUGUGCAAACACGAAAGUGGACGUAUACGGUGUGACGCCUGCCCGGUGCCGGAAGGUUAAUUGAUGGGGUUAGCGGUAACGCGAAGCUCUUGAUCGAAGCCCCGGUAAACGGCGGCCGUAACUAUAACGGUCCUAAGGUAGCGAAAUUCCUUGUCGGGUAAGUUCCGACCUGCACGAAUGGCGUAAUGAUGGCCAGGCUGUCUCCACCCGAGACUCAGUGAAAUUGAACUCGCUGUGAAGAUGCAGUGUACCCGCGGCAAGACGGAAAGACCCCGUGAACCUUUACUAUAGCUUGACACUGAACAUUGAGCCUUGAUGUGUAGGAUAGGUGGGAGGCUUUGAAGUGUGGACGCCAGUCUGCAUGGAGCCGGCCUUGAAAUACCACCCUUUAAUGUUUGAUGUUCUAACGUUGGCCCCUUACCGGGGUUGCGGACAGUGUCUGGUGGGUAGUUUGACUGGGGCGGUCUCCUCCUAAAGAGUAACGGAGGAGCACGAAGGUUGGCUAAUCCUGGUCGGACAUCAGGAGGUUAGUGCAAUGGCAUAAGCCAGCUUGACUGCGAGCGUGACGGCGCGAGCAGGUGCGAAAGCAGGUCAUAGUGAUCCGGUGGUUCUGAAUGGAAGGGCCAUCGCUCAACGGAUAAAAGGUACUCCGGGGAUAACAGGCUGAUACCGCCCAAGAGUUCAUAUCGACGGCGGUGUUUGGCACCUCGAUGUCGGCUCAUCACAUCCUGGGGCUGAAGUAGGUCCCAAGGGUAUGGCUGUUCGCCAUUUAAAGUGGUACGCGAGCUGGGUUUAGAACGUCGUGAGACAGUUCGGUCCCUAUCUGCCGUGGGCGCUGGAGAACUGAGGGGGGCUGCUCCUAGUACGAGAGGACCGGAGUGGACGCAUCACUGGUGUUCGGGUUGUCAUGCCAAUGGCACUGCCCGGUAGCUAAAUGCGGAAGAGAUAAGUGCUGAAAGCAUCUAAGCACGAAACUUGCCCCGAGAUGAGUUCUCCCUGACCCUUUAAGGGUCCUGAAGGAACGUUGAAGACGACGACGUUGAUAGGCCGGGUGUGUAAGCGCAGCGAUGCGUUGAGCUAACCGGUACUAAUGAACCGUGAGGCUUAACCUUACAA